RNAcentral lists this ribosomal RNA (545 nucleotides) under uncultured bacterium. RNAcentral describes it as "bacterial SSU rRNA". It matches the Rfam family "Bacterial small subunit ribosomal RNA", at positions 900 to 1450 of the family's 1533-position model. The record is from RNAcentral.
CUCAAAGGAAUCGACGGGCACCCGCACAAGCGGUGGAGCAUGCUGUUUAAUUCGACAAUACGCGAAGAACCUUACCUAGACUUGACAUCCUUGGCGAAGUCAUAGAGAUAUGAUAGAGGUUAACCGAGUGACAGGUGGUGCAUGGUUGUCGUCAGCUCGUGUCGUGAGAUGUUUGGUUAAGUCCAACAACGAGCGCAACCCUCGUCUUUAGUUGCUAACAGUAAGAUGAGCACUCUAAAGAUACAGCCGGUGUAAGCCGGAGGAAGGUGGGGAUGACGUCAAAUCAUCAUGCCCCUUAUGUCUAGGGCUACAGGCGUGCUACAAUGGCCAGUACAACGAGUCGCGACACAGCGAUGUGAAGCAAAUCUCUUAAAGCUGGUCCCAGUUCGGAUUGGAGUCUGCAACUCGACUCCAUGAAGUUGGAAUCGCUAGUAAUCCCGAAUCAGAAUGUCGGGGUGAAUACGUUCCCGGGUGUUGUACACACCGCCCGUCAUGCCAUGGGAGUCUGUAAUACUUGAAGUCGGUAGCCUAACCCGUAAGGGAGG